ACUACGGGAGGCAGCAGUGAGGAAUAUUGGUCAAUGGGCGCGAGCCUGAACCAGCCAAGUAGCGUGAAGGAUGACUGCCCUACGGGUUGUAAACUUCUUUUAUAAAGGAAUAAAGUGAGGCACGUGUGCCUUUUUGUAUGUACUUUAUGAAUAAGGAUCGGCUAACUCCGUGCCAGCAGCCGCGGUAAUACGGAGGAUCCGCGCGUUAUCCGGAUUUAUUGGGUUUAAAGUGGGCGUAAAUGGUGUGUUAAGUCAGUUGUGAAAGUUUGCGGCUCAACCGUAAAAUUGCAAUUGAUACUGGCAGUCUUGAGUACAGUUGAGGUAGGCGGAAUUCGUGGUGUAGCGGUGAAAUGCUUAGAUAUCACGAAGAACUCCGAUUGCGAAGGCAGCUUACUAAACUGCCACUGACAUUGAUGCUCGAAAGUGUGGGUAUCAAACAGGAUUAGAUACCCCUGUAGUC
Molecule: ribosomal RNA, 460 nt
Filed under: uncultured bacterium
Lineage: Bacteria
Description: partial 16S ribosomal RNA
Rfam family: Bacterial small subunit ribosomal RNA
Source: RNAcentral